This is a long non-coding RNA of Helianthus annuus (common sunflower), 1029 nucleotides long. RefSeq lists it as uncharacterized. NCBI's taxonomy places the organism in Eukaryota, Viridiplantae, Streptophyta, Magnoliopsida, Asterales, Asteraceae. The record is from RefSeq and is a predicted model, not a curated record. The transcript has 2 exons.
UGAAGUCACACAAGUUGAAGUCUACAGGCGAGGCAAAACUAAAGUCUCUGGUAACAAAGAAAGGUUGGAACGAGUGUAUCAAGUGCAAGAAUUCGGAUGAACUUGCAUUUGGGUGCUACCAUAUUUAUUGCAUGUAUUUAUUGGAUUUGUUUUUUGGAAAUAUAUAACUGUGCCGAUUUAAAAUGUUGUGCUCUGCUUAAAGUUGAAGAUAUGGUUUGAAUGUGAUUGCAGAUGUGGAUAUGAGUUUUUCUAUACUUGUGGAGUGGAGUGGGUUAAUAAGAAACCAACGCGCAGGUGUCCGCUCUGGAAGGAGCGCAACAUUCUUUAUGCGUAGAAGUGUAUAAAUGGUUGAUAUUGGUGAAAAGACUAGAAUAAUAGUUGUGAAUGUUGAUAUUGGUGGUGUCUGCGUGAUCUCGAUGGUACACCUUUUCAAGUUUAAUGUUUAAUGAAUGAAUAGUUUGGUUACAUAAUGAUCAUUAUAUCCAUUUGACCAAGUUUUUUACAAUUUACUUUCUUCUUUCGAAAGAUUGUUUUUUACAACAUUACUUCUAGCGAGGCAAAACUAAAGUCUCAGGCAACAAAAAAAGGUUUGGCACGGGUGUAUCAAGUGCAAGAAUUUGGUUGAACUUGCAUUUGGGUGCUACCAUGUUUAUUGCUGAUGUGGAUAUGAGUUUCGCUUCCGCUUCAUGAUGGGCUAUUAAUUAUGAAGUUCCACCUCUACAUGUGGUUGGUAUGUUCUUAUAUAUACCAUCUGGCGCAUGUGUAUCAAGUGCAAGAAUAUCAAGUGUCCAGUCAUGCUAUUGCUAGCAGAAUUUGCCAUUCUGCAUCUCUACCUUUCAUUUACGACAACAUGUACCACCAAAUCCUAGAUACAUGUGACUUGAAUGUGGAGCUGCUUUGCCGGAUUUCUAGAGGUGUGGUUUGACUUCGUUAGUUACUUUCUAGCUUCACUGUUAUAGGAAAAGAAUGCAUAGUCUGAGCUUCGAGUCAAACCGACAUUCCUAAAGCUACAAGCAAUUAGUAAUUGAA